GACGAACGCUGGCGGCGUGCUUAACACAUGCAAGUCGAACGGAAAGGCCCUGCUUUUGUGGGGUGCUCGAGUGGCGAACGGGUGAGUAACACGUGAGUAACCUGCCCUUGACUUUGGGAUAACUUCACGAAACUGGGGCUAAUACCGGAUAGGAGCUCCUGCUGCAUGGUGGGGGUUGGAAAGUUUCGGCGGUUGGGGAUGGACUCGCGGCUUAUCAGCUUGUUGGUGGGGGAGUGGCUGACCAAGGCUUUGACGGGUAGCCGGCCUGAGAGGGUGACCGGCCACAUUGGGACUGAGAUACGGCCCAGAGUCCUACGGGAGGCAGCAGUGGGGAAUAUUGCACAAUGGGCGGAAGCCUGAUGCAGCAACGCCGCGUGCGGGAUGACGGCCUUCGGGUUGUAAACCGCUUUCGCCUGUGACGAAGCGUGAGUGACGGUAAUGGGUAAAGAAGCACCGGCUAACUACGUG
This 468-nucleotide ribosomal RNA is filed under the name uncultured bacterium. RNAcentral describes it as "partial 16S ribosomal RNA". It matches the Rfam family "Bacterial small subunit ribosomal RNA", at positions 28 to 507 of the family's 1533-position model. The record is from RNAcentral.